GAUGAAGAACGCAGCGAAAUGCGAUACUUGGUGUGAAUUGCAGAAUCCCGUGAACCAUCGAGUCUUUGAACGCAAGUUGCGCCUCAAGCCAUUAGGUUGAGGGCACGUCUGCCUGGGCGUCACAUAUCGUUGCCUGAUGCCAGUUUCCUCGUGAUGGGUGACUGUGCAGGGCGAAUGAUGGCUUCCCGUGAGCAUUGUUGCCUCAUGGUUGGUUGAAAAUUGAGUCCUUGGUAGGGAGCGCCGUGAUAGAUGGUGGUUGAGUGACGAACGAGACCCAAUCAUGUGAGACCCCUACCGAAUUUGGCCUUCAUGACCCACACGCGUCUUUUGACGCUCAUGACGAGACCUCAGGUCAGGCGGGGCUACCCGCUGAAUUUAAGCAUAUCAAUAAGCGGAGGA
RNAcentral lists this unclassified non-coding RNA (399 nucleotides) under soil metagenome. RNAcentral's name for it is "partial contains 5.8S ribosomal RNA, internal transcribed spacer 2, and large subunit ribosomal RNA". The stretch from base 1 to 122 matches the Rfam family "5.8S ribosomal RNA", at positions 35 to 154 of the family's 154-position model. The record is from RNAcentral.